GGCAAGUCUUGUUACAUAUGUGAUUCCCAAGUACGCACGAAGCACUCUAUGGUAACGAGGCUCCCACACAUUACGCCUCUAGAGAGAGACAGAGAAGAGACAGAGAGAGACAGAGGCAUGCGAUGGCGAUGGAAGAAGCAGCCAGGACAUGCGGGGCAAGCCAUCCAUGCAGCAGCCGUUCCAAAGCGGCAGAAACAGACAAACAACAGUGGUCUCCACGUCAGACAGUAUCAAGGCAACUUCGAACACACCUCUUCCGUAAUCUCCUCCAAAAGGUGUAAAGAUGCUGCCUGCCCCCACGCCAACUAACCGGGGUGGAGGGUCGUGCGAGGCACGCGUAGUAUAAAGAGGAAGUUGUUAGUCACCAUUUUUACUGUCAAUACGUAGUCAUCGCCAUGCAUUCAUGACGAUUCGUUUUGUG
Ornithodoros turicata is the source of this 421-nucleotide long non-coding RNA. RefSeq lists it as uncharacterized. Lineage: Eukaryota; Metazoa; Arthropoda; Arachnida; Ixodida; Argasidae. The transcript has 3 exons. The record is from RefSeq and is a predicted model, not a curated record.